Molecule: long non-coding RNA, 2155 nt
Organism: Drosophila biarmipes
Lineage: Eukaryota; Metazoa; Arthropoda; Insecta; Diptera; Drosophilidae
Exons: 2
Source: RefSeq, a predicted model, not a curated record
CUCGACUCUAUAAAAAUAUUUUUGUUUUUCAUUGUUUAAAAUCCCGUAAAGCCUUAUAUUGUAAAGGCCUCUGCCACUGCCGUUAAAUACUAUUCAUAUAUAUCUUACGGCUGUCUUGCUGAAAUAAAUUCUAAGCAGCACUCCUAUUUUAAUAGGCAGAGCGGUCCUACUAGUGACCAGUGAAUGGCACCAAACAGAAAAGUGCCGACGCUAUCCAACGGGUCCAGUGGGGCAGCAGUUCGAGUCUCAGCUCCUGCAGUAGGCCGAAUAAUAGAGCCACCAGCCAGCGGGGAAAUGAGCGCAGCAGGGAUGGUGUUUGCCAGCACUUCUGGAGGGUCCAGUGAAACGGAGUCAGUGUUUGCGCCAGCAGGGUGACUGCUAAGUUGCCAAAUCUCUUGGCAUUGCGUAGCCAGCUGGGCCGCGCUGCUACUGCCGGAGAUGUAGUCUGAACUUGUGGGUACAUGGAGUGUACAUCUGGUAGACUCUGCAAAGUUUGGUAAAGUGGAUUAGUGGUGUCGGCCAUUAUUUUUUGGACCUCCACAGGUAGAUCUGAAUCAUAUGUAUCUAAAAGCUCUUAUUCCAGGCGCAGUUUUAACCUGUUGAUGCCAGUUUCGAGGUGCUCUUCUGGCGUUGGCGCUUGGAGCUCAGAUGGUAGUAGGUGGCUCAUAAUAGCCCUUGGAUGUAUUAAGGCUGGAAACGGAUUGUGCGAACCAUGUCCCAGCGGCUGAUUGCGCCGCUUCUAACUUGCCGUGACUGAUGAUUGACCCAAUCCAUUGACGACCGUCCCUGGGGUGUAAGAUGCAAGAGCAAGUUCCUGCUUUUGUCGGGCAUGGCUUUCUUGCUGCUCAUCGUGCAACUGAUCCUGCUGCCGUCUGUAUCGCUCUUGUUGUUGCUGGUCAAGGCGGAUUAAUGUGGCACUACCUGCUGGUGAUGUUCCGGUUGCUGGAGCAGUAAUUGUGGCAAGGGUGUGAAAUGCGUCUCAAGUUGUUUGGUGUACACAGGAAGAUCCUGAUUAUUUGGAGUAACUAAAUCUUUUAGAAGCUUUCUGGCUUCUGCAUUGGGUUGUGUAUAAAGGGAAUUGGCGAGCCUGCCACUAUCAUCGUCAAGUACCUCCUUUGUACUUAUACACUCAUAGGAUUCCCAAACCCCUUAGACUAAGAUGGGAUGCAUACAAACUAACAAAGAGACAUUUUCAUUUUGAAGAAAAAAAAAUCUUGUUUUUCGUAUUACUUCUGAACGGGAAAAUGAUUUUAAGCAAACAAAACAUUUAUCGCCACCUUAUCCAGCAGCUCUAAAUUUUCCCUUUCAAUUCUGCGGAUAUAUAAUAGUUCUCUUCGGACGCUCUCUUGCGCGCUUCGACGGGUAAAAAUUUUAAAAAAUGAUAUCUUUGAUGUUCUUUAACAUAUAACCUCCUGAGCUUGGAAAUAGCAUUUUUUUUUAUUCUGAAUGUCGAAUAAAAUUGUAUCAAAAUCGGACGACUAUAGCUGCCAAGCGAACAAUGGGAAAGUUAGUGGCAAAAUAAUAUAAAAUAUUUAACCUUUGGUGGCUUUUAACAUACAACAUCCUACGCUUGAAUAUAACAUUUUUUAAUAAGUUUUAAAUUUCGAAUUAAAUUUUAUCAAAAUCAAACGUUUAUAUAAUCGAGGACGACUGUAUAAUCGAUACAUUUGAUUUCAUAAGCCACUUCUUCGUUUUCUUUUUUUUUUAACUUAUAUGUUGUAUUGCUUUAUUAAAAUCGUCAAAAAUAUUUGUCAAUUGCAUUCUACGGUACAAGCUCUACAUUUGAAACAUGUACAGCUCAUCAGACGACAAAGUAGUUUUUAGUGGUUCUCUGUUAUAAAGAUUCUGAGAAUAAAAGACAUUGGCGCGGCUAAGACCGCUAGAAUGCUUAUUCUAGCAUUCAUGAUGUGACGCUCUGCGUCGCACCGAGACAUACCAACUGCUUAAGGCGGUAAAAACGACGUGCCGCGCCGCACCGCCCCCGUGUGCGCGUACCUUAACUCGGACGCUACGAUUGGCUUAUUCGUUCGUUAGUUCAUCUAAACAUGAUAACUGAUAAGAGCAGCCAAGUAAACAUGAACUUUGUACAAAACAAAGCAGCGUGCCGUACAAACGAGACAUUCUCCGCCGUAAUAAAAUUUGAAGUCAAAACAAA